GCCUGGCUCAGUUGAUAGAGCAUCAGACUCUUGAUCUCAGGGUCAUGAGUUCAAGCCCCAUGUUGGGCA
This 69-nucleotide transfer RNA is filed under the name Felis catus (domestic cat). It matches the Rfam family "tRNA". From Rfam's summary of the family: Transfer RNA (tRNA) molecules are approximately 80 nucleotides in length. The record is from Rfam by way of RNAcentral. RNAcentral also lists the same sequence under 4 other names. Lineage: Eukaryota; Metazoa; Chordata; Mammalia; Carnivora; Felidae.